Long non-coding RNA from Ailuropoda melanoleuca (giant panda), 1604 nucleotides. RefSeq lists it as uncharacterized. NCBI's taxonomy places the organism in Eukaryota, Metazoa, Chordata, Mammalia, Carnivora, Ursidae. The record is from RefSeq and is a predicted model, not a curated record. The transcript is spliced from 3 exons.
GUUCACUUGAAAAAUUGUAAAUAAACACAAUAAUAUUUUUUUCCUGAUAGUUUAGAACUUUAUUAUACUGCUAAAGUUGUUCCAAAGCAGGAUACAAUUCAGUUUAAAGCUUCAAAAGAAAGGAAUUUGGGAUGCAACAGAGGUGGAUCCUUCCUGGUGGCCUCCGCAGCAGACACUCCCUGCUUUGUUCUGUUUCCUCAUCUUAGUCUGAUCUGUAGCCUUCCCGUGGGCAUCUUCGUCUGACUGGUUUCCUGCCCUUCACCUGGGGCCAACGAGAGAGGAGGAAAGGCUUAUUCUCAUAUUGAGGCCCCUUUGGAAGUAAUCCUGGGCUGUAGGAGAUGUCAGACUUCACUGCCAGGCAAUGACAGCAAUGGAAGAAGUGAAGGGAAAACAUGCCAAAAUGGAGUGUUCAAGACUUUUCCGACUCAUCUUUGGGACGGGGAUUUACAAAGCAUAAUGAAGACCUCUGAGAAGUUUAAGAUUUUCUCUGCCAAAUAUACUGCCUGUAUUUGAAUAUUUGACAGGGAAGUCAUAUCCAUGAAGGCCACAGUGUCAUGCACGGGGAAGCCACCGCCAGCAGGAAGAAAGCCAUUCCCUGACCAGGUUCAAUAUUGCCCCCAACAGGAGCAUCUCUGCAAUGGUAGGUUUCCUUUACCAUCCGGCAGCUUAAGAGCGGGGAUGCAGUCAGUCCAGAGACAGAACUUCUGUUUUCACAAGCAAAUGAACAAAACAACAAAAACAUAGAAAAAUCAUUGUUCUCUGUCUCAACCGGAGACCCAAACAAAUCCUCUCGGAUUCCACUUGCAGAUUCUAGCUUGACUUUCUCAUUCUUCCUUGAUGUCCUUUUCACACGGCCAUGAAGCACUCUAUGUUGCAGUGAGAGCCAGCUGCAGGGACUUUCCCACCUGUCUCAUGACUCUUGGAGAAGCUUGCCUUUUCAUUUGGCUUUGAGCUGGGCAGGCUAUGGUUUCUUAGGUUUAGCUUUGGGAAGGUGCCCCCUACUGGGGUUUGGUUGGUGGAAGAACUUGAGGACCCAGGCAGGGGAGCUGCAGUAGUUGUCCGUGAAUGUAACCUGGACUUUGGAACCUCCUGGAUGACACAGUUGCUUACCCAUCUCAUUUUCAAUCUGGAAAUCUAGUCAAGCGAUACAUUUCCAGUCCCCUGACUGUCUCAUGACCAACUUGUCCGUGUCAGGCAAAGUUUAGUCCAGAAGGACUUCCAUAAAGUUGUUGACUGGACCCUGUCUCAGGAAAAGUUUAGCGUGUCCUGGCAGCCUUCAUCGCACACCACCAACUCUGAGAGGUCAAGGGUAUUAUGGAGCAUAGUAACGUUCCUAAAACUGACUCAUGAGCCGGCCUGUGAGUAACGGACUCAUCCCUGGUCUCACAGAGAGCAUGUCAAAUGGCCCAAUAGGUGCUUCCUGAGAGUCAGUGACAAGAGGGAUGAGGAAGGGGUCAGUCAUGUAAAAGAAAGUCCACAGAAAGGCCAAGUCAGUUCCAGAGAAACUGUCAGUCUCUCUGCACUUUUCCUACUUGUCCAAAUGUUCCACUCAGCAAUGUAGAUAAAUGUUAUAGGUAGUUUGUUCUGAAAUCACUGUCUGUCAC